RNA transcript from Coffea arabica (coffee), 2753 nucleotides. RefSeq lists it as uncharacterized. Lineage: Eukaryota; Viridiplantae; Streptophyta; Magnoliopsida; Gentianales; Rubiaceae. The record is from RefSeq and is a predicted model, not a curated record.
UAAAGGGUACAAUAGAUAGGCUUGAAGAGGCAACUCCACAGCUCUCUUCUCCUCCUCUAGUCUCUUUUCUCCCUUCCAUCUUGUGAUAGUUUUAGUACUACAAGUAGCACAGUAUCUCAAAACUGGACCCAUUAGCAACUUUUUUUCCCAAGCCUCCAAGCAGCAUGGUCGGCCCUUCAAUGCUUAACACAUACAAAUAUAACGUAACCCUUAAAUCCUCUCCAACCACCAUCAAAUUUCUUUGCAGCUAUGGCGGCAAGAUCCUCCCCCGUUAUCCUGAUGGCAAGCUCCGUUAUCAUGGUGGUGAAACCCGUGUCCUUGCUGUUGAACGUUCCAUUUCCUUUUCUGAGCUAGUGAUGAAGCUGGGGGAGAUGUGUGGAGCAUCAGUUAGUCUAAGAUGUCAAUUGCCAACAGAAGAUAUGGAUGCACUUGUUUCGAUCACCUCGGAUGAGGAUCUUGCCAAUCUCAUCGAGGAAUAUGAUCUAGCUGCGGUCUCAGCCUCACCAACCACUAAUAAUGCCCUCAAGAUCAGAGCUUUCCUUUCAACCCCUUAUAAACCUACCACCAAGAAAUCGUCUCCCUCCCAUUCCAUUGCCUCCUUUUCUACUAGUAGCAAUGAGGCUACUUCUCCAGUUUAUUCCCCAGCACCUGCUGCUUCCCCUAGCCUGAUCAGCUUUAGGCGUCCAAUUAAAUCAGCUGCAACUGAUAGGUGCGUCCAUCAGAUCAUGUCCAGGCCAGCCGUUGCAUACCCCCAUCCCCUGAUGACUUAUGAGAAAGCUGCUGCAAAGGGGCUUCCUCAUCAUCAGUAUGUCUACUGUGGCCCUGGAAAAGCUAGCAGCCAUGUAUAUCUCAUUCAACAUGGCAACCACUGGCAAUAGCAGGGUCCUAUAAAUAUCCGAUCGAUCCACCUGGACUAUAUCUUCCCCUGCCAGCGGAAGAUAAACACCAGGAAAGAUGAACCUGAUAAUAUAGGUUGAUAUAUUGCUAUAUUCAAGAAAGAAGUGGGCAAAAAAGCUUGGCCAAGCAGACGCAGAUAUAUUUAAUGUGCGGCAAGAUAUGAACACUGAUGUCCAGUGGAUCAAAUUCCAAUGUCCUCAAGGUCAAUCUGCAAGAAAGUGUGCUCCAUCUUUAGCAGCGAAGAUCCAUAACUCGGUUUCUUCACCUUAAUUGUUUUUCAGCGUCAAAUAUCUAUUGAAAUUUCAAAAUAUUCCGACUUUGUGGUUUCAAAAGGUGUCAAAAGUGAUUUUCAAUGUUUUAGUGCACUGCACAAAAAACGAUCCCGCAUUUUGUAAAAAUCUCCCGCAUUACCUGAUAUACAGUCACGAUUAGCUAAAGCUAGAAAACAAUCCAACAUGACUUUUGAUUCUGCAAAAUUUUAUUUGGCCGAAUUUGUUUAGCUCAUAAAGUGCAGACCUGUUCAUAUUGCCUAAUGAAGUUUGGCUGAUCCCAAAAGUUUUGCACGUAACAAGUUUGUGUGUUUUGAGAAGAAUUCCCAUUGGAUGAAAGAGUGCCAACUUGGACGUGACUCAGAGUGUACUUACUUAAUGGGGGAAGGAAGUGAUAUGGAGUUAAAUUGACUUGGGGUAUCCAUUUCAUUUUCUAGACCAGGUCAGGUGGAGCCUGGAGGACUUGGAAGAAGCCGAUUGCAUAUUGUCUCUACAAACUACUAGAAAAACGGACCAACUGAAAAAAAGAUAAUAACAAAAUAGUUAUAAUAAAUGAAGAAGAGGCUGAAUGUGGAAUUCAUUGGACGGGGCCAACACUGGAAAACAGAGUGGAAUAAUUCUGCUCGGGCAAGGAACUCUUCUUUCGAAUGAAAGGGAGUAACAAUUAACGUCAAGACAGAGGAGACAUUUGCCUGAGAAAAAAAUGAAAAUGAAGGCGACAUAUGAAUUGAUGGCUGAUGGCCAAGUGACAGCUGGAGCAAGAAAUGGACCAAUUAUUGUUGAGACUACAUUGAAAAAAUUAUUUUAACAAAAUCGAAAUCGAAGGGAAAAAGAUAGAAAGGAAAGGGACCCUUUUCUUUUUUUAUAUUUCUUCCUAUCAAAGAGAUGUGGAGGAAGAUGAAUGCUGCCAUAAUUUCGGGUGCAAAAGAAAUGCUGCCAUUCAUCAAUUGAGGGCAGAUGAGAUAUGAGCGAAGUAAUCAAAAGGACACGAAGAUAGGAAGGGAAUCAAUUUUUUUUUUCUUUUUUCAUUUUGAAAGGGAAUCAAUUUUUGAAGAUAAAAUAAAAAGUGGUUUAAGGUUAUCCUACCCCACCAAUGUUCUGAUCUUUUCAUCGCUUGGAGGAAAAGACUUUUGCCAGGCGAGGCCCGGGCACACCUUCCACUCAGAAUUAAGCCUGUUCUUCUCCUCUUGACUAUGGAUGGGAUCACGAUCAAAGUGUUCGGUGCUGUGGGAACGUCAGCAUCAAAGUGUGGUGUGGUCUGUGGAGCCAUUGCAGCUGUGUCAUUAUAUAUUUAUUAGUAUUAUAGGGUUUUUGAAGAGUGAACAUAUAUGGAUGGAUCAUGGAGAAAGAACAAUGGAAAGUUUAUCUGCAGUUGGGAAAGAUAACUUGGGGUCAUUCCAGGGUUGGAAUGGGUAAAGGAAAUUGUGAGACUCGUGAGAAAGAGAGAGUUGAAUUGAACGCAUAGAUAGAAAGAAAGGACGUUUUCCAGUGAAAUUGUCAUCUAUCCCUGUCUGAACCAGCAGAUGCGUAAAGAAAAAUGAUAAGGUUAUCUUUUUCUUCAGUAAACAAAACUACAUUAGCAGACAC